This 284-nucleotide unclassified non-coding RNA is filed under the name Hevea brasiliensis (rubber tree). Lineage: Eukaryota; Viridiplantae; Streptophyta; Magnoliopsida; Malpighiales; Euphorbiaceae. The record is from RNAcentral.
AUGUUCAAUGCAUUUGAUGAAAUAUAUGUUGCAUUCAAUAUUGAUGUAAAAUGACUUAGAAAAACUUGACUUUUAGUGGGUAGGGCCAGGGUUUGUAGAACUCAAGAAUUAGGGCUUUAAAGUAACCUGGCAGAUCUGAUUUCCUUCAGAACCAGUAGGGGUUGUGGUUGGGGUGUGGGUCUGGUGUGGAAGGGGGGAAUACCAGCCCCACAACAACAGCAGGAUUAGAAAGAAAAAAUAAAAAAAAAAGGGCUUAGUUUCUGGGAUUUUAAUUCCAAAUCUUU